AUGGCGUCGACCACCACGAGGCUCGUCUGUGCUCCACUCCUCAUGCUGCUCCUGCUCUCUGUGUCCACGGCCAACUCAGUCCAAGAGACCGGCAGCUCACUCAAAAGCUCCACCCAGAAGAAUGUGUUCGUCGUCGACAACUACGGCGCCCGUGGUGACGGAAAGCACGACGACACGCAGGCGCUGGCCAGGGCGUGGAACGCGGCGUGUUCCUCGUCCCGGCCGGCCGUGCUGCUCGUCCCCAAGGGCAAGACCUACCUGCUCAAGUCCAUCACCCUCUCUGGCCCGUGCAGAUCCAGCAUCGUCUUCAAGGUGAAGGGCACGCUCAUCGCUCCUCCGAGCAUGUCGGCGUGGACCGACAACGAUAGGAGGCGCUGGAUCUUCCUCCAGCGCAUCACCGGCCUCACCGUCAAUGGUGGCGGCACCAUCAGCGGCAACGGUGAGAUCUGGUGGAACAACUCGUGCAAGACCAACAAGGCUCUGCCGUGCAAGGGGGCUCCCACGGCCCUCACGUUUCACCUCUGCAACAAUCUAAAGGUGGAGAACCUGAAACUUGUAAACAGCCAGCAAAUCCAUGUGUCGGUUCAGGACUGCAGCAACGUGCACUUGGCCCGGCUGACCAUCACCGCGCCUGGCACGAGCCCAAACACCGACGGCAUCCACAUCACCCACAGCAAAUAUGUGCAGGUCAGAGAUUGUCUCAUCAAGACCGGAGAUGACUGCAUAUCCAUCGAGAAUGGAACUCACGAUCUUCAUGUCACAAAAGUUGUUUGUGGCCCGGGACAUGGCAUCAGCAUUGGAAGCUUAGGAGAUGAUAACUCCAGAGCUGAGGUAUCCCGUAUUUACAUUGAUACUGUACGAUUAUAUGGCACGUCCAAUGGAGCCCGGAUCAAGACAUGGCAGGGAGGGAGUGGAUAUGCUAAGGAUAUCGUAUUCCAGAAUAUGAUCAUGGAUAAUGUGCAAAAUCCAAUUAUCAUUGACCAAAACUAUUGUGACUCCGCCAAGCCAUGCAAGGGCCAGAACUCAGCGGUAGAGGUACGGAAUGUGGUGUUCAAGAAUAUUCAAGGGACCACCAUUUCCAAGGAUGCCAUCAAGCUGAGUUGUAGCAAGAAUCUCCCGUGUUCUGGCAUUGCCUUAGAGAACAUCGACCUUAAAUUGGAGGGUGGGAAGGGUGACACCGAGAGUACCUGCCAGAACGCAAAAUGGAGGAAGUCAGGAAAUGUUAUUCCUCUACCAUGUAAAGGAAAAAUUAAGUUGUAG
RNAcentral lists this ribosomal RNA (1260 nucleotides) under Triticum aestivum (bread wheat). RNAcentral's name for it is "partial small subunit ribosomal RNA". The record is from RNAcentral. Lineage: Eukaryota; Viridiplantae; Streptophyta; Magnoliopsida; Poales; Poaceae.